CCUCGCCGUGGAGAGACUGGUUUCAGACCGCCCUCAGGAAUUUUACGUCAUGUAGAUACGGUUUCAUGGUCACAUAAUGACAUGCAGAUUAUCUAGGUAGUUGUCGCUAAUUGCCUAUUUUGUUUCUUGAGGUCUCGAGCCGGAUGCCUCAGUCGUUGAGAAAUCGUGAAAGAGCAGGUUCAGUCGCUGUUGCCUCUCACUUUCCAGCUCGUCCGUUUGCUGCUGUAUUUUCUCCAAGAGGCCGAAAUAUUUGUUGACACCGUUUCCUUGGUGCUUUGUCUUCUUUCUUUGUACUCUCCGCCCAAAGACAUCUCUGACCACCUUUCCGACGUCGGCUUCGAGUAGAGGAGGCUUCUGGUGUGAUUGCAAUAGUAUACUUACUUCUGCUUAGACAUCGUUUGUUAACGAACCUUCAGACUGCGUGUCGAUCUCAUAAUGAUUUUCAAACCUGCGUAAGUUGUACGUUUGAGAUCUCAAUGCCUAGUGACGGAUUCCAUUAGUGAGUCUAGAAUAAUAAUUACCAUUCGUGAAGUAAAGCUGU
Corticium candelabrum is the source of this 541-nucleotide long non-coding RNA. RefSeq lists it as uncharacterized. NCBI's taxonomy places the organism in Eukaryota, Metazoa, Porifera, Homoscleromorpha, Homosclerophorida, Plakinidae. The record is from RefSeq and is a predicted model, not a curated record. The transcript is spliced from 3 exons.